UACAGAGGUCUCAAGCGUUGUUCGGAUUCAUUGGGCGUAAAGGGUGCGUAGGUGGCGCUGUAAGUCAGGUGUGAAAUUUCGGAGCUUAACUCCGAAACUGCAUUUGAUACUGCGGUGCUUGAGGACUGGAGAGGAGACUGGAAUUCACGGUGUAGCAGUGAAAUGCGUAGAGAUCGUGAGGAAGACCAGUGGCGAAGGCGGGUCUCUGGGCCAGUACUGACACUGAGGAGCGAAAGCGUGGGGAGCGAACAGG
RNAcentral lists this ribosomal RNA (253 nucleotides) under uncultured bacterium. RNAcentral's name for it is "partial 16S ribosomal RNA". It matches the Rfam family "Bacterial small subunit ribosomal RNA", at positions 524 to 776 of the family's 1533-position model. The record is from RNAcentral.